RNAcentral lists this ribosomal RNA (119 nucleotides) under Pteropus alecto (black flying fox). RNAcentral also lists the same sequence under 1 other name. Lineage: Eukaryota; Metazoa; Chordata; Mammalia; Chiroptera; Pteropodidae. The record is from RNAcentral.
GUCUACGGCCAUGCCACCCUGAACAAGCCCGACCCCGUCUGAUCUUGAAAGCUAAGCAGGGUCGGGCCUGGUUACUACUUGGAUGGGAGACCACCUAGGAAAAUCAGGUGCUGUAGGCU